RNAcentral lists this long non-coding RNA (322 nucleotides) under Jatropha curcas. Its description in RNAcentral is "long non-coding RNA (JCUR_LNC000397)". Lineage: Eukaryota; Viridiplantae; Streptophyta; Magnoliopsida; Malpighiales; Euphorbiaceae. The record is from RNAcentral.
AAGAAUUUCCUUACUUGGAGUUGCCUUAAUGCUUAAUUACAGUGAAAAGGCAAAGGAAAUGGGAGGGAAAAGUAAGAAAAGAAUGAGAAACGUGAAAAUGGGAAAGUGAAAAUGAAAGGAACAGAUAGACUCUAGAAAAAGUGAUUUUGUGUGUAAAAGUUCUACAUGGUACCUCACUUAUAAGAAGGUUGUAGCUUCAUACCCAAGCUAUAUAUAGUGAUGCCAAUAAGUCCUAAACUUUUCAUGCAACUAAGUCCACUUAUCAUCCAUUCUACCCCAACCAGGUUUGGUUCAACCCAGCUCAACUCAAGAGGAUGUUACA